RNAcentral lists this small RNA (142 nucleotides) under Escherichia coli O127:H6. Its description in RNAcentral is "sRNA, function unknown". The stretch from base 1 to 115 matches the Rfam family "Short Intergenic Abundant RNA", at positions 35 to 147 of the family's 147-position model. From Rfam's summary of the family: This family contains multiple ncRNA from E. coli that were identified in a large scale screen of E. coli, were they were called candidates 43,55 and 61. These RNAs have also been identified by other groups and called QUAD RNAs. RNAcentral also lists the same sequence under 1 other name. The record is from RNAcentral. Lineage: Bacteria; Pseudomonadati; Pseudomonadota; Gammaproteobacteria; Enterobacterales; Enterobacteriaceae.
ACAAGGGUGAGGGAGGAUUUCUUCCCCCUCUGAUUGGCUGUUAAUAAGCUGCGAAACUUACGAGUAACAACACAAUCAGUAUGAUGACGAGCUUCAUCAUAACCCUUUCCUUAUACAAGGCCCCUUCCUCGGGAGGGGCUUU